This 505-nucleotide ribosomal RNA is filed under the name uncultured bacterium. Its description in RNAcentral is "partial 16S ribosomal RNA". It matches the Rfam family "Bacterial small subunit ribosomal RNA", at positions 28 to 507 of the family's 1533-position model. The record is from RNAcentral.
GACGAACGCUGGCGGCGUGCCUAAUACAUGCAAGUAGAACGCACAGUUUAUACCGUAGCUUGCUACACCAUAGACUGUGAGUUGCGAACGGGUGAGUAACGCGUAGGUAACCUGCCUGGUAGCGGGGGAUAACUAUUGGAAACGGUAGCUAAUACCGCAUAAUAUUAAUUAUUGCAUGAUAAUUAAUUGAAAGGUGCAAUUGCACCACUACCAGAUGGACCUGCGUUGUAUUAGCUAGUAGGUGAGGUAACGGCUCACCUAGGCGACGAUACAUAGCCGACCUGAGAGGGUGAUCGGCCACACUGGGACUGAGACACGGCCCAGACUCCUACGGGAGGCAGCAGUAGGGAAUCUUCGGCAAUAGACGAAAGUCUGACCGAGCAACGCCGCGUGAGUGAAGAAGGUUUUCGGAUCGUAAAGCUCUGUUGUAAGAGAAGAACGGGUGUGAGAGUGGAAAGUUCACACUGUGACGGUAUCUUACCAGAAAGGGACGGCUAACUACGUG